Molecule: long non-coding RNA, 115 nt
Organism: Leopardus geoffroyi (Geoffroy's cat)
Lineage: Eukaryota; Metazoa; Chordata; Mammalia; Carnivora; Felidae
Exons: 3
Source: RefSeq, a predicted model, not a curated record
GUGUGCUCUUCCGAAGGCGAUCUGGCUGCGACAUUUGUCACCCCAUUGAUCGCCAGGGUUGAUUUGGCUGACCUGGCUGGCUAGGCGGGUGUCCCCUUCCUCCCUCACCGCUCCA